This 199-nucleotide unclassified non-coding RNA is filed under the name uncultured Sordariomycetes. Its description in RNAcentral is "sequence contains ITS2". The record is from RNAcentral. Lineage: Eukaryota; Fungi; Ascomycota; Sordariomycetes.
CAUAAAACCUCACCGUCCCCCCGGUUUCGGGGUGCGUCGGUGGUCAUGGGCCUCUCGCCCCUGGCCCGCAAGGGCGUCGGGGGGCGUGGCCUGAAAGCCAUUGGUCGCUGGCCCCGCCAUGGGUUCCUCGGUGUGCGAGUCUCAUUGACGUCUCGCCGGGGACGAAGGAUGGGGGAGCCGAGACCCUAAACUCUUGAAA